GCGCGAGAGUAGCAAUACUUUUGGCGGCGACCGGCGCACUGGUGAGUAACACGUAUGCGACCUGCCCCGUGCUGGGGGAUAACCCCGGGAAACUGGGCCUAAUACCCCAUGAGCCACGAGAUCGCAUGGUUUUGUGGUAAAAGGUUUUUCCGGCGCGGGAUGGGCAUGCGGCGCAUUAGCUAGUUGGUGAGGUAACGGCUCACCAAGGCGACGAUGCGUAGGGGUUCUGAGAGGAAGGUCCCCCACACUGGUACUGAGACACGGACCAGACUCCUACGGGAGGCAGCAGUGAGGAAUAUUGGUCAAUGGACGGUAGUCUGAACCAGCCAAGUCGCGUGCGGGAUGAAGGCCCUUUGGGUCGUAAACCGCUUUGGUCGGGGAGCAACGUGCGGGACGUGUCCCGCAGUGAGCGUACCCGAAGAACAAGCAUCGGCUAACUCCGUGCCAGCAGCCGCGGUAAUACGGAGGAUGCGAGCGUUAUCCGGAUUCAUUGGGUUUAAAGGGUGCGCAGGCGGCACAUCAAGUCAGCGGUCAAACUGCGGCGCUCAACGCCGUAUCGCCGUUGAAACUGAUGAGCUUGAGUGCGUGCGAGGGAGGCGGAAUGCGCAGUGUAGCGGUGAAAUGCAUAGAUAUUGCGCAGAACUCCGAUUGCGAAGGCAGCUUCCCAGCGCGCCACUGACGCUCAUGCACGAAAGCGUGGGUAUCGAACAGGAUUAGAUACCCUGGUAGUCCACGCGGUAAACGAUGAUCACUGGCUGUGCGGUUUAAUUGCGAAUUGCGCGGCUGAGCGAAAGCGUUAAGUGAUCCACCUGGGGAGUACGCCGGCACGGUGAAACUCAAGGAAUUGACGGGGGCCCGCACAAGCGGA
This 868-nucleotide ribosomal RNA is filed under the name uncultured bacterium. Its description in RNAcentral is "bacterial SSU rRNA". It matches the Rfam family "Bacterial small subunit ribosomal RNA", at positions 68 to 933 of the family's 1533-position model. The record is from RNAcentral.